This 200-nucleotide ribosomal RNA is filed under the name uncultured bacterium. Its description in RNAcentral is "partial 16S ribosomal RNA". It matches the Rfam family "Bacterial small subunit ribosomal RNA", at positions 8 to 218 of the family's 1533-position model. The record is from RNAcentral.
AGAGUUUGAUCUUGCUCAGGACUAACGCUGGCGGCGUGCCUAACACAUGCAAGUCGAACGGGGUAGCAAUACCCAGUGGCAGACGGGUGAGUAACACGUGGUCAACCUACCUCUGUGUGGGGGAUAACUAGCCGAAAGGCUAGCUAAUACCGCAUACGAUCUUCGAGUGGCAUCACAUGAAGAUGAAAGGAGCAAUCCGC